AACGAACGCUGGCGGCAUGCCUAACACAUGCAAGUCGAACGAUUGCCUUCGGGUGAUAGUGGCGCACGGGUGCGUAACGCGUGGGAAUCUGCCCUUAGGUUCGGAAUAACAGCUGGAAACGGCUGCUAAUGCCGGAUGAUAUCGCGAGAUCAAAGAUUUAUCGCCUGAGGAUGAGCCCGCGUUGGAUUAGGUAGUUGGUGGGGUAAAGGCCUACCAAGCCGACGAUCCAUAGCUGGUCUGAGAGGAUGAUCAGCCACACUGGGACUGAGACACGGCCCAGACUCUUACGGGAGGCAGCAGUGGGGAAUAUUGGAAAAUGGGCGCAAGCCUGAUCCAGCAAUGCCGCGUGAGUGAUGAAGGCCCUAGGGUUGUAAAGCUCUUUUACCCGGGAAGAUAAUGACUGUACCGGGAGAAUAAGCCCCGGCUAACUCCGUG
Molecule: ribosomal RNA, 435 nt
Filed under: uncultured bacterium
Lineage: Bacteria
Description: partial 16S ribosomal RNA
Rfam family: Bacterial small subunit ribosomal RNA
Source: RNAcentral